Non-coding RNA from Phalacrocorax carbo (great cormorant), 1633 nucleotides. The record is from RefSeq and is a predicted model, not a curated record. NCBI's taxonomy places the organism in Eukaryota, Metazoa, Chordata, Aves, Suliformes, Phalacrocoracidae.
CCCGCGGGUGCCGGCCGGAGGGGCGAGGCGGGCGGGCGGGCGGCGGCGCUGCCCGGGGCUUACCUUGGCGCCCUUGCCCAGCAGCGCCUGGACGAAGGCCCUGCCGAUGCCCUGCGCCCCGCCGGUGACCAGGGCCACCUUGCCAUUGACGUGCAUGGCCGCCGCGCCGCUGCCGCCGUGCCCGCCGAGCCGGAGCAACCUAGCGCGGUGUCACCUGCCCGGUUUCCUCCCUCCCUCGCUCCCUCCCUCUCUCCUGCCUUCCUUCCUUCCCUCCCUCCUCCUCCUCCUCCCGCCGCUCGUUCCCCCCCCCCCCCCCCGUGUGACCGAGAGCCGCCCGGAGCUGCCUGGGCGGGGGGAGCGGGGUGGAGCAGGUCAUUAAAUCGUUCUCCCGAGCGCCUGGAUGAACCCCAGAGACCAAAGGCCAGAGGGAAGCCCAGCUUCAUCCUCUCUUCAGCCCCCCGGGCUUUCCGGCGAGGAGCGGCUCCUGCCCGGCGGGUCCCGGGGACGGGGUCCCGGGGCAGCUACAGCUCCCCUCGGAGGGGGGGAAAGGGGGGCCUUUGCGCCUCUGUAAAUGGUGUGAGAAGCGGCUACAAGCAUUGAUAAGGGCUCUUGGCAGCUCCUAAGGGUGUGUGCGUUUUGGUUGGCCCCAGUCUCGUGAACAGCAGGCUGAGGAAUCGAAAAAAGUUCAGUCUCGAAAAAAACAAACAUAGAGCCUUUCUUCACACCUCAAAAUACCCUGCCAGCCGUCUCCCCUCUCAUUCUGCCAGUAAGCAGAAUCUGUUUGUAUGAAAAAGCAGCUAUUAAACAUUAUGGAUAUUAGAUGUAUCAUAAGUGCUUUCUAGAAAUUUUCAGGUCUGUGGAUAACAUAGCUUGUACCUUAAAAAAUGUUUAAUUGCUUUUACAGCUUAUAAGCCAAAUUCUGCUACACAAUGUGAAUUACACGCAACUAAAACCUAUCAAUACUAAGAUAUAUAACUGAACAGUAGAAAUAAGAGCAACCUUAAUCAUCUAAAAGAUGAAAUUAAUUUUACUUGUUUAUUAGCCUGUUACAAGAUUCACAAAUGUUAUCCCACAGAAAAUACAAUAUCGUGGAGUGUUGAGUAGACAGGAAAAAUCCAUUGUUCCAGCCCUAAGCUCUAUAAACAUAUGUACAUCAUGUAUGUGCAUGUGUGUAUUAACGCACACGCUUGUCUUUUGGGUUCUCUGUUUUCUUUGCUUGAUGUAUCAGGUUUAAACUUUUUUGCUUGUGCUUUCAAGGCCCUGAAGUACUCAGGCUUUGCUUCUAGCAUUAAUGUCUGUUGUCAUUUUUCCUUGCUUCUCAGCAACAAUGUGCCUGUUUUGCCCCGUUUCUUAUCCCAGCUGCCCAUUUUCUACUAGGCUUCCUUGAUGUAUGGAAUUCCCUUCUUUUGUAUUACCUAGAAGAAACAAAUUAUAUCACUCCUAACACCAGCAAACUGUUACAGAACCAUUAAGAUCAUGGCUUAUCCUCCACUCUUCUGCAUAGACCGCAGUGGCAUCAAAGCAUGAAGAGACGCCAGGUGGUUUUAAUCUGUUUUUGAAAAGGAGACAGGAAUAUGAUCUCUCUCAGACAUAUGUCACCCUAUUAAUUUAAAAAUAGUUUUUCAAAAAGCAA